UAGGGCAUAGUUUAAUGGUAAAACGAAGGUCUCCAAAACCUUUGAUGUGGGUUCGAUUCCUACUGCCCCUG
RNAcentral lists this transfer RNA (71 nucleotides) under Geomicrobium sp. JCM 19037. RNAcentral's name for it is "tRNA-Trp". It matches the Rfam family "tRNA". Rfam says of the family: Transfer RNA (tRNA) molecules are approximately 80 nucleotides in length. RNAcentral also lists the same sequence under 1 other name. The record is from RNAcentral. Lineage: Bacteria; Bacillati; Bacillota; Bacilli; Caryophanales.